Molecule: microRNA precursor, 109 nt
Filed under: Chlorocebus sabaeus (green monkey)
Lineage: Eukaryota; Metazoa; Chordata; Mammalia; Primates; Cercopithecidae
Description: miRNA (ENSCSAG00000021028.1)
Rfam family: mir-3188 microRNA precursor family (bases 18-102)
Source: RNAcentral
UGGAUAAAUAACUCCUUGGCGCCUCCUGCUCUGCUGUGCUGCCAGCGCCUCCCCUAGCGCGCUUUCUGGAGGGGCUUUGUGCGGACUCGGGGCUGGAGGCCUGCUGGGG